UUUUUGAGUAUAAUUUAAAGUAGGGCCUGCCCMCUGAAAUAUUUUAAAGGGCCGCAGUAUUUUGACUGUGCAAAGGUAGCAUAAUCAUUAGUUUUUUAAUUGAAAGCUGGAAUGAAAGGUUUGAUGAGAAAAUAGCUGUCUCUAAAUUAUGAAUAGAAUUUUAUUUUUAAGUUAAAAAGCUUAAAUAUUUUUAAAAGACGAGAAGACCCUAUAGAGUUUUAUUUAUUUUUAAAAAAUUAUUAAUUUAGAAUUUAAAAUAUUAUUUUUUAAUAAUAAAUUUAAUUGGGGUGAUUAAAAAAUUGAAUAAACUUUUUUACUUAUAUUACAUUAAUUUAUGAAAAUUUGAUCCAAAAAUUGAUUAAUAGAUUAAAUUACCUUAGGGAUAACAGCGUAAUUUUUUUUGAGAGUUCUAAUCGAAAAAAAAGAUUGCGACCUCGAUGUUGGAUUAAAAUUAAAUUUUGGUGUAGAAGCUAAAAGUUUAGGUCUGUUCGACCUUUAAAAUUUUACA
RNAcentral lists this ribosomal RNA (508 nucleotides) under Bucolus fourneti. RNAcentral describes it as "partial 16S ribosomal RNA". The stretch from base 382 to 508 matches the Rfam family "Bacterial large subunit ribosomal RNA", at positions 2473 to 2600 of the family's 2925-position model. The record is from RNAcentral. Lineage: Eukaryota; Metazoa; Arthropoda; Insecta; Coleoptera; Coccinellidae.